UCCUCUGUAGUUCAGUCGGUAGAACGGCGGACCGUUAAUCCGUAUGUCACUGGUUCGAGUCCAGUCAGAGGAGCCA
This 76-nucleotide transfer RNA is filed under the name Escherichia coli. RNAcentral describes it as "tRNA-Asn". It matches the Rfam family "tRNA". From Rfam's summary of the family: Transfer RNA (tRNA) molecules are approximately 80 nucleotides in length. Their secondary structure includes four short double-helical elements and three loops (D, anti-codon, and T loops). Further hydrogen bonds mediate the characteristic L-shaped molecular structure. tRNAs have two regions of fundamental functional importance: the anti-codon, which is responsible for specific mRNA codon recognition, and the 3' end, to which the tRNAs corresponding amino acid is attached (by aminoacyl-tRNA synthetases). tRNAs cope with the degeneracy of the genetic code in two manners: having more than one tRNA (with a specific anti-codon) for a particular amino acid; and 'wobble' base-pairing, i.e. permitting non-standard base-pairing at the 3rd anti-codon position. The record is from RNAcentral. Lineage: Bacteria; Pseudomonadati; Pseudomonadota; Gammaproteobacteria; Enterobacterales; Enterobacteriaceae. RNAcentral also lists the same sequence under 3 other names.